Long non-coding RNA from Equus caballus (horse), 4172 nucleotides. Lineage: Eukaryota; Metazoa; Chordata; Mammalia; Perissodactyla; Equidae. The record is from Ensembl.
GCCACAGCAUGGCCUCAUGAAUGGUGUGUAGGUCCACGCCAAGGAUCUGCACCAGUGAACCCUGAGCCAUCAAAGCAGAGUGCACGAACUUAACCACUUGGCCGUGGGGCCAACUGCAGAGAAGAUUUUCAAAAAUUCUCUUUUCGCUGCUUAGUCUCGUUAAGGCAGUGUUUCUCAGCCUCGGCCCUAUUGACGUGUAGACUAGAUCAUUCUUUGUAGUGGGGGCUGUCCUGUGCAUCACAGGGUGUUCAGCAGCAUCCUCAUCAUGGUCUGCCCACUAGAUCCCAGUAGCACCUCCCACCCCCAGCUGUGACGAUCCAAAGUAUCUUCAGACACUGCCAAAUGUUUCCUUGUGGGGUAGACACCCCGGUGGAGAAUAAUUGCUUUAAGGUAAGGUUUUAUAACACUCCCAAAGAUAGCUUAAUGGCUUAUCUUUCUUGUUUUUCCUUUCUUUUUCCUCUCCAAGGAUGAAGGAAAAUAUGAGAUGCACUUUAGACCUGGGCCCAGUGGGCGCAGAAUAGCAAGGGUUCACAGCAGGCCGACCUGGCUUUGGGGCCUCCUGUGGCUUUCAGGCUGCCGUGGCUCUGCAUACACCGUUAACACGUCCUAGUUGCCUUGGGUGGAUAUGCAUUUCACAGAGUGUCUGUUUUCUGAGCCCUGAAAAUGUAUCCUUUAAUCUUUGGCUCAGAAAACCCCUUGACUCUGGGAGGAGACACCAAAGGCCUUCUCAUGACAGGCAGGGAGAGGGCUGUUUGGAUUGCUAAUUUGUUUUCGCGCCUUAGUCUGUUUUUCCUUCAUGCCGUGUUCUCUGUAGGCCUUGAGUAUGAAUAAUCACGCGCGGCCUGAGGGGCGAAGCAGGAGGCCUGCUUUUGGAGUUGUUUGUACCGUAAUGAAAUAGAAAGUUUAAAAGCCUUGCAAAGCUGAGCAGAUGGAUGGGGAGGGCAGUCUAGAAUGCACUUUAAAAAUUCCUCAUAGGGGCUGGCCCCGUGGCCGAGUGGUUAAGUUCGCGCGCUCCGCUGCAGGCGGCCCAGUGUUUCGUCAGUUUGAAUCCUGGGCGCGGACAUGGCUCUGCUCAUCAAACCACGCUGAGGCAGCGUCCCACAUGCCACAACUACAAGGACCCACAACGAAGAAUAUACAACUGCGUACUGGGGGGCUUUGGGGAGAAAAAAUAAAAUAAAAUCUUUAAAAAAAAAAAAUUCCUCAUAAACCGUGGCAAACUCUGGAAGCCUCUUGGAGGUCAGGGAAAUAAACUGCCCACUCACGUUAGAAUGGCACCCCUCGUCAGAACUGUCCCCCAAUGUUAAGUCUCAGUGCAGAGUGUCCCCAAUCACUCAAAUGCUCUUCAAGAAAGCUUUCUCAACGUUGUAUUUCAUGAAUUGUCAUCUUGAAAACCAAACUAAGCGUUGACGUUUUCUGAAUUGUGAGUGGUAACUUGAUAACUAGCCAUCUGAAAUAUCUAAUCUCUACUAUUUUGUGUUCAGCUAGGUUCCGGUCUGGAGAUGGUUGGGUUUAUUCGAAUUGACUGCCAAAGACGUCAAGGACUCUGUUGAGCCUUUAGUUGUGUUAAUUAGCCACAGGCUGGACAUCUCCUCCAUGACAGUAGUCCUGAGAAUGGGCAGGUUUAUGAAGUGUUGCACGACCACGUUGCAUUAUGACUGUUCAGUUAUGUGGAGGUGAUUCCCUCAAAACUGUGAGCUCUUUGAGGUCUAUGAAUCUCCAGCAAAUAGAACACUGCCAAGCAAUAGGAUAUAUUGGAGUACAUGAGGAAGCCAUUUGGUGUAAAACUAAUUCGGCCUGAACUUAUUUUUCCUAAAAGGCCUGACAUGGCCUUGAGCAUACGUUGUAUAUCUGCUUUAAGUAUUUACUACGUCUCAAAGACAAGAACAAUGCCCUUAAAGAUAAAGAUGUAACUUCCCCCAUAUUUGCAUUUCCUUAAGGAUAAGCAUGUCUCCCUAGGCUAGGGAUUGAUUGCUGACCUGCCUUGUUCAUGGAAUUGUGGAAAUGCUGUGCAGCAAAGCCAUCUUGUGACUAUUGUAGAAGGGACAUUCUAACCAUAUGUGUUACAUGCUCUUUGACUAUAUAACCACUCUGUCUGCUCCCACUUCUUUGGAGUGCUCCAUUCCUUUGUGAAAGGACUCUCCCAGGCUAUAUGGUCCUCAGAUCUGGCUCAUAAUAAACUCACCCCAAUUUUGAUUUAUAGAUUGGUUAUGGAUUAUGUGCGUUGACAUUACCGUAUAGCAAACGCUCAAGUAGUGUUGCACAGAGCUGGUUGAGAGCCAUGAAAGAAACAGGAUGAAAGAGUAGAAUGGGUCCACAGAAACCAUCCUCAUUCAUGGAAAGACUAAUGGGUAACAUGCCCUCUUAAUAGAAGGAGGAAGGCAAUACAGGUGUCAGAAUGGAGUUUUAGGCUCCUCCCUCCCACCCUCUUUCUUGGAGGGGAUCUUGGACAACUGGAAUUAGUAUAACACACUAGAGUUUUUGCCUGAUGGGUCAUCAAUACUAGCAAUAGAAAGGUUUAUUUUUUCUGUCACUGUUAUAUGCUGAGGAAGCUGAUGAAUCAGAAUAUUUUUCUCUCCUCUCUUUAGAUGGAACUGGCUGGCUGAGAGUCUGUCACAGGAGUGAAUGACUAAGAAGACAGAAGUCUUUAAGGGUGAAGUAGACUCCAUGAAUUCCUCAGAAAGGAAAGUAAAGGGCGACUUUGACUGCCUUCCGGAUUCCUUGUGUGAAAGGAUAAUUCUUAAGUUGGAAUAUAAUCAUAAAUCUCAGACAUAAACUGAAUGGAUUUUAGAGAUGUUAUUUAAAUCAUUAGUCAGUGAGGGAACCAGUAAGACAUCACAAAAACCCAGUAAGAUGGUUCAAAGGAGAAUUCAAAGAACCAGCAACAAUGCUGAAAUCAAUUUACAGAUUGAUCCAAAACUGGACUCAGUCCACAAGAGAGGAGGGAAAUCAAUUGCAUUUUCAGGGAACAAAAUUCAUUUGCAUGUCGAUGGAUAAGAAUCACUUGCAUAACUGUCAGUUACCUAGGAUUUACAGAAUUGUAAAGGAGCUCAAAGUCAAUGAAAGGCAGAGAGGCCUCACACAGCCAAGUCACCUGGAAGACUACUCAGAUGAUCCCCACUGCCUGGUUUUUCACUGAAGACAACUUCUAGUUCCCGUCUCAGAGGCACCCUGGUGUUUCGUGUGUGUUUAGCAUACAGACGCUCCUGUUUGUGCUUGCAAGAUUCCUUGUCCUGGAAGAAGCCAGCCACCAGCCUGGGAGGACACUCAAAUAGCUCUUCGGAAAGAUCCUCAAGAGGAGGAGGUGACCAAAGGCCAACAUCAACUUGCCAGCCAUGCAGGCGAGCCACAUCAGAAGUGGAUAAGAUGAGGUGGUGUUGUGAACUAAGGUGACACGAGUGGUUUGAGAUUACUAGGUGGAUUCGAGACUUGGUAAUGGAUUGAAUGUGAAGAUGAGGAAUGCUUGCAGAAAUAAGCAUCUGGGUGCGCAAAGCGGCAUUUAUGGAGGUUGGAAAGACUAGAGGAAGAACACACGGGUCUGAGAACUCAGUUAAGUUAAGAACUCAGUUUUAUAUAUUGUGAUCGUCAAUUCCAUAGUUUCGGCAAGAUAAAAGAAUGUGGCCAGUCCUGGGGAAAGGAUUUGUCUUAUAUCUACUCCUAGUUUUGACAGCAACCAGCUGCUUCCAGAUAGCAUCUAUCAAACGUUAUGGAGGUACCUUCUCAUGCAUUUCUUCCGCUAAUGAUCUUAUGUUUGAGGAUCUCAAACUGCAGAUAAGCAAACAUGUUACUCAUUAGCACAGCUCUGGCUGGACAACCCUUUAGGAUUAAAUGAGUCGCUGCUAACCACAUUAGAGCCGUCACCUGGAGGUCUCCUUUGAGGAAAACACCCCUACGCUCUUCCUUUUGGUCACUGCCAAAGGAGUAUGGGAUUGUGUUCUUCAAAGAUCAAGUGUUUGUGAUAAAAAUCUGUACUGUUUCCUCCUCUCGGGCAUGCUGUCUCUGGAUGUUUUCUGAGUAAAACACACUCAGCUAACUGGCAGAACACAGAACUGUUUCAUGAAAGUGAACACACAGUUUAGGUAGAUAAACCACUUUUAUUUCACUAUUUUAAUAUUGCUUGUUUCAGAGAGAUACAGGUAUGUAAAUUCUGCCUUUCAGAAUUUAGGAGGCUC